This 663-nucleotide ribosomal RNA is filed under the name uncultured archaeon. RNAcentral describes it as "bacterial SSU rRNA". It matches the Rfam family "Archaeal small subunit ribosomal RNA", at positions 46 to 711 of the family's 1478-position model. The record is from RNAcentral.
UAGCCAUGCGAGUUAAUGUUCUUCGUGAACAUAGCAGACUGCUCAGUAACACGUGGAUAACCUGCCCUUAGGACUGGCAUAACCCCGGGAAACUGGGGAUAAUUCCGGAUAGAUCAUAAAUGCUGGAAUGCUUUAUGAUUGAAAGGUUUCGACCGCCUUAGGAUGGGUCUGCGGCCUAUCAGGUUGUAGUGGGUGUAAUGUACCUACUAGCCUACGACGGGUACGGGUUGUGGAAGCAAGAGCCCGGAGAUGGAUUCUGAGACAUGAAUCUAGGCCCUACGGGGCGCAGCAGGCGCGAAAACUUUACAAUGCGGGAAACCGUGAUAAGGGAACACUGAGUGCUAGCAUUUAUGUUAGCUGUCCACAUGUGUAAAUAGCAUGUGAUAGCAAGGGCUGGGCAAGACCGGUGCCAGCCGCCGCGGUAACACCGGCAGCCCGAGUGGUGAUCACUAUUAUUGGGUCUAAAGGGUCCGUAGCCGGUUUAAUCAGUCUUCUGGGAAAUCUAAUCGCUUAACUAUUAGGCUUCCAGGGGAUACUGUUAGACUUGGGACCGGGAGAGGUAAGAGGUACUGCAGGGGUAGGAGUGAAAUCUUGUAAUCCCUGUGAGACCACCAGUGGCGAAGGCGUCUUACCAGAACGGGUCCGACGGUGAGGGACGACGGC